This 244-nucleotide long non-coding RNA is filed under the name Ananas comosus (pineapple). RNAcentral's name for it is "long non-coding RNA (ACOM_LNC007651)". Lineage: Eukaryota; Viridiplantae; Streptophyta; Magnoliopsida; Poales; Bromeliaceae. The record is from RNAcentral.
AACAUUUCUAGCUCAUACAGCAACAUUUAUAAAUGCCCCUAAAUUAAAGUUUUCUUGUAGUGACGAGCGAUUCGAUCUCGAGCUUAUUGUGAGCCGAACACGAGCUGGCUCGCGAACAGCGAGCUGAAUUACCACCCCUAGUCUAUAUCUAGUUCAUCUUUAUGUUAUUUUAUUAUGAAUUUAUCAAUUAUACAUUCAUCUCACAUAUAUAAUUUAAAAAUCAAAUUCUAUAUAAUUUUUUUUA